CAAGGUUUUCUAAUGAACCACUUAGGCACAUUCAGCUUCUUAAGGCUAUUUAAAACUUCUAAUUGAAUUUUCACCACAAAAGUGAUUUAAUAAUAUUUUCAAAGCUUACAGAAGACAAAUGAAUACACUAAAUGGUGUUGAAAACUGAAUUAUUUCUGUGAUAAUAUUUUAGUGGAAUGCCUGUAAAUUAAAAAAAUACAGAAAAUAAAAGAGAGAGGACAUCCGUGCUUACUCAAAUGUCCUGCCUAAUUCAGAAUAGCAAAUUAAAAUGUAAAUUAAAGUCUCUCUCUCUCUCUCUCCACUUUCACAGAUAUAAAAUACAGUGAAGAUAAACUUCAAAGGUUCACAAUGACUCCUUCAUUUUCUCCAAGGGAAUUUAUGAACACCAUGAUAAUGUGGAAGUGUUAGAUAAAAAAAAUGUAGACUACACUAAGCAAUUGUGCUUGUAUUUUUUUCUUUAAUAUCAUACACUUGAAUAAUUUUACAGAAGACAACAAACUUCUUUCAACUACACAGGGUUUCGAAGAGAUGGUUGGAAAUGUUUAACAGGAGAAACUACUUAUGAGUUAGUUUUACAAUAUUGUAUCACAGUCUUGUUGAACCAUAAGAAAGUUAAAUAGAAGAAAAUGCAUUUAUGACCUCCAAUAAUAAUAAUAACAAUAACAACAACAAUAAUGUUAUUCUGUUUGCUGAGUAUGACAUGCAUUUCUGAUUUACUUAGUCUACAAGGUACAAAUAUACCCUGCCUUCUGCCUGAUGUGGUAUGUGGCAUGACCUUAGAGCAUGAAAGGAUAUCACUGGAGAAGGUUUACACACAAAUAUAUUAAGCUACCCAGAGAAAGCCAGAUUCCCAUUUUGUGUUUGAUUUCUGCAAAGUACUGUGCCCACUGUCUGAGGCAUGCUAUACCUUUACAAAAGGUGUUUUUAGUCCUUGCUUGAAAGUCCUGCAAAGAGUUUACCCAUAAGAAGAAAUGGGAGGUCUACUGUGACUAUGUAGUUCCUGUUCAUUAAAGAGUGAAUGGAUUUGUUCCAACCUUUUCUAGGUACACUUUAAAUUUCAUGAGUCCCCUUUGACAUUUAAAAUACCAUUUCCAGGCCUUCCCCUGUUCCACAUAUAUUCUCAAUUUGACAGUUAUGCCUGGCCAGUAUAUAUUCACUGUUCUUCUGUGGCAGUCUACAGGUUUGAUGCUUGUAUCCAUUUCGACAUGUGAGCUCUUAAAUCUGCAUUCCCUGCACCUCAGAGAGAAGAUAAAGGUAACAUAUUGAUAGGCUAUUUCCUGUUCCACAUAGCUAUCCGUCUUGUGCUUUGGAAAGUAUGCCUUGCUCUGUACGUAUGCCAAAAGUAGAGUACUUUAUCUUCAUCUCAAAGUGGUGGCAACUCGGUUAACGAAGGUUCACAUUUAGCUGAAUGGCUUGUCUAACCUCAUAUGAAUGGAUACUUUUGUCUUGGUUAAAUCUGAUAGGGCAGUUUAGGUCUGUGCAGAUCCUCAGAUUGCCAGGAGUUUUUCUGAUCUCUUUUGAGGAUGUUGAUCCACUUUGUGCUAGUUUAAAUAGGUGUAAUAAUGCCUGUUCCUUGCAGGUUUGCCAAUUUGUACUUUAGUAACUCUGCCACAGCUCACUGGAACUUCGCCUUUUUGGGCUACACAUGUGGAUCUCUUCAACUAGCUCGCUGGGUGGCUUUCUUGAAAUAUAUUAUGAGUGUUUGCUAGACAGAACUCAUAGCGGCUGUUCUUGCUCUUCUAUCAUGUUGUGCAUAUCCUGGUGAUGUACUGUGAUUAAAUUCAUGGCUUGUACUUCUCUGUUGCUCAGAAGUGGUGGGUGGUGCCCUUGUGUGUCAACUGUAAUAAAGUCCAGUUGAUAAUAUCUCUUGUUAUGUGCAUUUCUUGCCUACAGUCAACAUUUGCCACCUGGUCUCAGGGUUGUUUUACUGUAUAUCACCAGCACCUGGUCAUUUCCCCCACACCUCCGCCAUCUAAUACUGCUGAUUAUCAUUGUUACUGGGAUUGCAUUACUGUCUCCAUAAUCCAGAUGGAAUCAAACUGGCAGUUGAUCUAAUAGCAUAGUUGCAAAUAUGGCAGUUGAACAGCUGUCAGCCUUCUCGUGCAGUCCUUGUAUAUUGAGUCAUUGAAUUUCUUAAAGUCACAUUGUAAAUACCAUCCUGUAACAGAGGCCUCAGCCCCUGUCACUUUGAGAGGGGAGAGCUGCUGGCUGCUGCAGCAAAGGAAGGCAGACUGGCCAUCAAUCGCAAGUGGGAACCCCUGUGUGUAGGUGGGGAGCCACAUGACAGGAAGGGGU
Gavialis gangeticus (Gharial) is the source of this 2295-nucleotide long non-coding RNA. RefSeq lists it as uncharacterized. Lineage: Eukaryota; Metazoa; Chordata; Crocodylia; Gavialidae. The transcript has 3 exons. The record is from RefSeq and is a predicted model, not a curated record.